This 8535-nucleotide long non-coding RNA is filed under the name Amborella trichopoda. RNAcentral's name for it is "long non-coding RNA (ATRI_LNC004664)". The record is from RNAcentral. Lineage: Eukaryota; Viridiplantae; Streptophyta; Magnoliopsida; Amborellales; Amborellaceae.
AGCCUCGUUCAGAGGGCCACACCCCACUCUCACCUUUCACCUUCUUCCUCUUGUAUGUUGAGCCUUUAAAACCCGUCCUAGUGAGAGACAAGGUCUGGAUUCCAGCAAUGUCUUGAGCCUCAUCAAGCACCACGGUACACACUAACUUUAUGUUUUAGGAUGAAGUUUGUGCUGUAAAUGAGCAUAACAGUAGGCAUAUUGACCUUAUCUUCCCUCUUUUGAAGUUCAUUUGAUUAGCAUUUAAAUGUCUGUCCAUGGUGUAGUUUUGAGCAUUAUAUUUCCAAACUGUUAUGGUAUUUUAGUUGCUGUAUAUUUAAGAAUUUACAUGCAUAAUAGUGAGCUCUAAAUGUUCCUCAAACACUAACUCAUGCUCCUUUGAUCACAUUUCGUGACACCUUGUGCAAACCCUAGUUCCUAAACUACACCAUUUGAGCCGGUUUCGGCCGUGUUUUUCCCACCUAAAGCUCUCAUCGUCUUGUGUCCCACAUGAGGUUAAUUCUGGCCUAUAUUUGAUGUGUGAAUAUUUUUUUCGUGUGGCAUGGUGUUUAUGCUUCCCAUGAUUAGAUCCAUUUCAUCCCUCUUGCGCUAUUGAUUGGAAGCAAUAAUAAUAGUUGUAUCGAAACUUUGCGGUACUCGUAUGGUGAUUGAGAAUUAUAUCUGUCUUCCAAAGUCAUAUCAAACGUGCACACACUUGAUCAUAUUUGUCUUUUAUUUUUCUCAGUAUAUUUUGAUUUGAAAAGUGUUGUAACGGGUGGUUUAAAAAACGAUUCGGUGCCCCGGAUCGAGCACCUCAAAAAUCCAUCCGGAUUGGUGAAUUGACAAUCUGGAUCGAGAAUCGACCGAAGCGAUCCUAUUAAGCCUUAAAAAAAAUCCAAAAAAAUUAUGAAAAUUCAUUAUAAAUGUUAUUUUUUAAGAAUCCAAAACGAAAUACGGGUAUUAUAUUAUUAACUUUCAUUUUUAAUCAAAUUGUGAAUAAUUAAGAUGUUCUUUUCCUAUAUGAACUUAUGUUAACCAUUAACAUCACAUAAAACAAAAAACAUAGAAUUACCAUGGAUAAAGUAUAUAAUCAUACAUAGACUACAAUAAAUAAUGGUUUAAAUCGAUAAAAAAUGGUCACUAACAUCUCGAAUUGGUAGAAAAACCUAAUCCACUAAAAAAAAAAAACCAAAUUAUUACAACCUAACUAACUAUAAUCCAAAAUUAUUACAACCUAUGUAACUAUAAUAUUAUAUAUUGCAACGAAAAUUGUUGGUUUAUAGUUUAUUAUAUAAACAAUAGCAAAUUUAAAAUAUUUUAUAGUAUCAUUUAAUUUAAAAUGUAUUAUUGACAACUGUAAGAAAAAUAUUACAAGAUUUAUAAUGCAAAUAAAUAAAUAAAAUAUUUGAUUAUCAAUAUAUAAAUUAUUCGAAUGUGCAUCAAUUUUCUAAAUAACACUUCAAAUUUUUUAAAAUAUAAUUUUUUAGAAUUCUAGAAUAAAUUUAAUGGAAGAGAUUGUUAGAGACAGAGAAAUAUUUCAAAUGUGUAUGAAUCAUAUCUUAAACUUAAUAUCCCUAAAUUUAUAGUAAAGCUUACCAUAUUAUAAAAAUAAAAAUUAUAAUUAGAUUAGUUAUUCUCAGUUUGUAUUAAAAAAUAUUUGUUGUAUUAAGAAAUAUCUUUUAUUUUUUUUGACAAUAAAUGCUUGUAGUAUUUUUUUUUUACGAGAAAAUAUGAUAUUUAUUGUAUUACUUUUUUUUUUUUUGACAAGAAAAAAAAGAAGAUGUUAUAUUACCUUUUUUUUUUUGCUUGUUAUAUUACUUUUUAUUUUUUUAUUUCUUUUAUCAUAUUAUUUUCUUCAUUUUAGUUUUUUUUUAAGACAAAAGAAAAAACCUAUCUUUUUUUUUUUAUGAAGACAAAUUUUAGUUUUUUUUUUUUUUUAAGACAAAAGUAAAAACCUAUCUUUUUUUUUAUAAUAUUAUUUUUAAAAAAAAUAUAUUUUAUGAUAUUAUUUUUUUAACUUUUUUUUAUAAAGACAAAAAGUGAAUUUUGCACAAUAACGUCCCAACUGGGAUUCGAAGCAUAAAACCUCUGCUGCCAACCACGCCAGCCUUACGCGCGCUGCUGAAGAGUUUUGUACAAUAAUUAUCUAUAUUGUAUAAAUUUUCAAUAUAAUAUCGCUUAGUGCAAGUCCCACAUAGAAGAAUUAGAGAAAGUCAAUAAGAUAUAAAUACCUUUACAAAAGCCUUAAUACCAGCGCGAUGGAGAGAAAAAGUAACCUGAAAUGAUAUUUUGAAAAAAAUUACCAAAAUGUCUUUAGGUAAGGACUCGCCCUGUGACGUAACUAAGCGGUUGGAAUUGCGAUUUAUAACGUAAUAGGGGCGAUGCGAUUUAUAACGUAAUAGGGGCGAUUCACGAUUCAAAAUCGUCGAUUCUCCUCUAGGAUAGGGCGAUUUUUUGUUUUACAAAAAAAUCGACAUGGGGUGCCCGAUUCUCGUGUCGAUUCGAACGAGUUCGUUGUGUUCGGGACACGGGAUGCUCGAUUCCCAUGUCGAUUCGGGCGAGUUCGUUGCGUUCGACUCGCCAAUUUUUGAAACCCUGCUAACAAAGCAAUGUUCAUUGUUGUAAAGUUGUAAUCGAAAGUUAUUUACUAGAAGAGAAGUGUACUUAUAAUUUUAUUAUUUUGUAGUGGUUGUCACGAUUUCCCCAAGGUUUGCUCAUCGUUGUAAAGUUGUAAUUGAAAGUUAUUUAGUAGAAGAUAAGUGUACUUAUAAUUUUGUUAUUUGUUCGUGGUUGUCAGGAUUUACUCGAGGUUUUGUAAGCUCUUUUGGAAGGGAAUUAAAAUUUUUUAUUUUGCACACUUUAAGUAGAGUCCUUGGUACUUCAAAAAUUUGAGGGGGACCACUUGAGACAAUAAAUGAGUGGCAAAAAAGUGGCAAACUAAGACAAUUCAGAAUUAAAGACAUGCACUUGAAUGCCUAGCACCCUUGGAAAGGUGAAUCUGUAAAAGAUAUCAAUGGGAACGACGCUGAUUCUGGGAUAGUUAUAUUUUGUUGAGUGGUCUCCAACAGGAAAUCUGUUCAUUCUAAAAUGGUUAUUUUUUUGUUGAGACCACCACAACGAAGUUACCCGACACUGCAGAUUAGACAUCUUCAGCUUAAACCUUUAUAUUUGGGUGCACGUUUCUGAUUGACUGGGGAAACGAUUAGGAAUUUGAAAUGAUAAUGAUUAUGAGAAUUUUGGCCAAUUCAAUUUCUCUUUCCACCUUUCACUCUUAAUCCUAAGGAUUUUGGGAGCAACGGCUUCCACUCAAAAUUUUCCUAAACGGUUUUCAACCCAUUCUUCAAGAGUUUAGAGAAGGCAUAAACGAAGUAACAUCAUGUACGGGCAGACCAACUCCCUCAUUUUUUAAAAAUAUGUUUUAGCAAUUUUGAAAAUAUAGAGAAAUUUUUAAAAACAGAACUAUGUACCUGACAUACAAUUUUAACAGAGAAAUUAAGAUUUUUUAACCAUAAGGUAUAUAAUUUUGAAAAUUUGAGAGUGAGAUUUUCAAAAAAUGAAUUAGCUAGUGGUUUAGGAUCAUGCUACUGUGGAGCAUUUUCUGAAAAAAAAAAAAAAGUAAAGGAUUUUUUAAAUGUUUUUGAAAAAAUACUUUUGAUUUUUUUUUUCUUCUAAAAAAACAAUAGUCAUACAGUUUAACCACUUGUGACCUUUUUGGUGGAACUUAUGACCUUGCUCAACCCUGACUAAGACUUUCAGGACAGGGAAUCAUCAAGUACUCCUUCAUCUUAAAUCCUCAUGUCACGAUCUAAAGACAAAUUCUUCAAAGUCUUCGAGCAAACUAGAAUUUCAGAAGAGGACAACCUUUCUAUGCUCCCCUACAGCAUAGAAGUUCUAUUCUUCCCCUACCAUCCAGCCGUCCAAUUUUGAUUAAGAGAGCAACUCAUUAUUUGAUCUUAGAUCCGACGUCUUAAAGUAUUUUAUUUUUAGUUUUUUUUUAUACAAAUUGUAUGAAAAUAUAAUUUGAUAUGUGCCAUCGUCUCAUUGGGGCGCACCUAUAAAAAAUAUUAAAAAUAAUUUUUUGAUAAAAUAUAAUGACCAAAAUACCUUUUCAAACUUUCAGAGGUAUUUUGAUCAUUUUAUUUUAUUGAAAAUAUAUUUUUUUAUAUUUUUCACUAGUGCGAGUUUAAUAGAGGAAUAAACGUCCAAAAUUUAGUGACAAAACAGUUUAUAAAAAAACUUAAAAAUAAAAUAGUGUAAAGACGUGAUAUUAUGAUUGGGGCAAUUUUAGCCCUCCAUUCAAAAUGAACGGUUGGAUAAGAGGGAGGAUAGAACUUCUAUGCUGCAAGGAAAGCAUAGAAACCUUUCCCUUCAAAAGAUAUAUGAUACUACCACAAAACAAAACAUGGGUUCUCCUUGACUUUCUCUCUAAUUCAUCCACUACUAACAUGGGUUCUCCUUGACUUCCUCUCUAAUUCAUCCAGUACUACCCGUGGAAGUUUAGAUGGUCAAAGUCCGUUAGGUCUACAUGGAGAGAUCUUUCCCAUGGUCUGUCGGACUUGUGCUCCUUGACUUUUACACCUUGAUUUCCUUUGAAAUAUUGUUUCUCUCUUUCUUAACUUUUGGGAAAUUUUUGGUGCCUUUCAUUUUGCUUGACUUUAAGAAAUCUUCUUGACUUUUGCUGAUUUUUUCCCAUUUUGCCUUUUUUUUUUUCUGCCUACAACAUGGAAUCGAGAGGUUUUCAAAUUUGAAAUCCCCUAAUCUAUCACUAUUAAACUAGUUAAUUUAAAAUUCCAUGGAUUAUGUUAAAUUUCGAUAUAGAGGCCAAUUAACAUGUGUAAUCUAAUAUUCUUUUAAAUCACCAGCAAUGCUGGCAUGAUCUUUUGCCAAAAAAAAGAAGAAUUCAUCUGAAAAUCAAAUCUAGCCAAAAUAAUCAAAAUUAACUUGAAAUUAAACAAAAAAGGGAGAGGAAACUUACUAACCUGGGGCAAUUGACUUGGGACCCUCGAAUUGGAGGAUAUUGCCCGUAUCAGGAUCACGGAUUAUUUAGACCUAUUGCUUUCCAUUUUCUCUUUGAACUUGAUUGAAUUCCUUUUUUGAAAUUUGUUGGAAAUUUUGACUAUGGGUGGUUGAAAGAGGCUCAAAUUGAUUUAGGAUUUUGUAGUUUAAAUCUAGAAUCAUAAAUCUUGCAUCUAGGGCUUGAAGGCUAAGGCUCUAGGGCUGAGGUUCAGAAGAUCUAAGUUAAGGUUUUAUUCUUUUGAAUCAGGGUUUGAAAGAUAGGGUUAGAGGCUCUAGAGGGAUUAAGUCUUCGAAUUCUAAGAUUUCUAUCUAAGAUUGGGCGUUGAGGUCUAAACUUAUGCAUUUUUGUUGUCAAUGUCCCAAAUUGGAUCCUUUAUAUAGACUUCAAAAGUUGGUUCCCAGUUGGUUUGGAAAUAUUCUUACACUGGAUACUUUUGGAAAUUUGAUCUAACUGGGUCAAAGUGGAUGAUGCGUACCGCGUUGUUUGGGCCAAUUUUGGUCAGAUGCCACAUGAUGCCGUGUCUAUAGCUUCUCGGCUCUAGUCAGCACAAAUUUUGGGAUGCCAGGUUUAGACACCGCAAUACAUUUCAUUUGGGGGGUCUUCUAGUCUAGAUGGCACACAUUGCAGCAGGGGUUCUUAGGUUUGUAAGAGCCUAAUUUUUGGGGUAUUAGGAUUAGACGCGACAGACUGUGGCGUCUAGACAACACGUAUUGUGGCAUCUGGGACCCUGAUUUCUCAAAUUUCAUGAUUUUGCUGAUCUUCAUGAUUUUGACUCAAAUUUUAUCAUUUUUUUAUUGGAUUUAUCUCGAAACCUUCUAUCCUAAGUCGGUUUUGCUAUUUUCUAAGAUUUCAAGAUAACUAUCUAGAUAGGUUGAUUUCCUAGGGUUUUAUGAUUUGUUAGGAGAUUCACUAGGGUGUUUGAGAAAGAUAGGACCAUAGUUCAUAGGAUUAUGGAUAAAAAGGUAUCCUAAGGUGUAAUUCGAUAACAUGGUCCCUAAAGGUUUACUAGGUAUUUCUAAGGCACUGUUAGGGAUUUAGAAAUUAGUAAAACUAAAAAAAAUAGCCAAUUUCAAAUUGGGGCGUCUACAUUUCUUUCUUUUCUUUUUUAUUUCUUUUUUCUUGUUAUUUUUCUUCUUUUUUUCAUUGCUCGGGUUUCCUUUAGGCUUUACAACCUGGCGAUCUCUCUCCCUCUCUUUUUUGUUUUUGUUUAUCAUGUGAUUUGGCAUUGAUGGAUGGAUGAGGCUUUCUGACUUUGAAACUUGCGUGGUUUUUUGCCUUUGAUCUCCUUGCUUGAAGAGAGGGUCUUCUUUAACCUUUGCGGAAUUGGCGGGGCUUCUCUUAAUAUGGCAUUUCAUCUUAGGAUUGGGUCAAGACUUUCUUGUGUUCCCAUGGAAACGAUCUCUCCUUUCAUUCUCCAAGGAGGGAGAUUCUAAUCUUGGUUGCCAUCCGAUUUCCCUUGCCCCUAGGUUUACAUCUAGCAUCUCUUAGGAGAUGGUUGCUGACCUUGUUGAAUCCCAUUUAGACUACUCCACUCGAACCUGAACUAUCCGAUUUAGAAUCACUUUUAGCUUUCUAGUCCUUCAGUCUUUCACUUUGCUUGGUUAAGCCCAUAAACAUUCCCUAUGAGAGAGCAAUUUUUGCUCAGAAGAAAGGAUGAAUUGAUUUAUCUACCCUUGUUAUGUUACCAAUAAUGGGAAUAUAAUCGCUUCCUUGUGGACUCAUUUUUUCUAUCUUAAUCAGGAUUUGCUUUUGAGUAGUUAAUUGUUUGGUUUUUCUCAGUACUAUACACACAGAGCUAAGGAAAUUCUCAUCAUUUUGUUUUUGAGGAUCCAUAGCCAUGGGAUGUGAGCAAACUUAUCAUCUUGAUCUUCAUUUAUCGAAUUUUCCUGUCGGAUUUUCUUGUACUUCAAGGUCAUAUUGGGUGAUAUUUAGGCUUGAGCAAAGAUUUCGACUCAUCAGUUUUGCUUAGAUUGACGUGGGCUACAAUCUUGUCCUCUUCACAUGUCAUAGUGGUAUCAUCUAGCUUUCUUGAGUUUGCCAUGAGUGAGCCUAUCUACAUCCCUGGACCACUGGGAAGGUGAUUCUGAUGGGAUGGCCAUCUAACUCUUCAAUCAUCACCUCGCUAAGGUCACAACCAGAUAACGCUUUAUCAUGACAGCAGAAUGGAUUCAAAGGAAUAAGGGUGAGAUUUGCUGAAAAAGAACUUAAUUGCAGGUGAUGCAGUCUCCAUGGCCAUGCAGAUCUAGGAGGAUUCAGAAAGCAUACAGUCAACAACCAUUGCUGCUACCUCUUAGUGAAAUUUGGACAAAUGUAAUAUAGCUCGGUGUAUGUAUUUCUUUGUUUAAUCUCUUUCUUCACUUUUCCUUUUUCUUUUCGGGCUAGAUCACAUACAAAUAGUCUAUUACAAUAAAUUGAAUUGAAAAGAAACAAAAGGAAAAUAAAAUUGAAUCUAAAACUUGAUGCCACUAAAAUCACUCUUUCAUUAAUUAAACAAAAACCACAAUACUAAGCUUGAGAAUAACAAAAGAUAAAAGUAGUAAGUAUGACAAGAAACAAGAAAUAGGAUGUCGAAGAUUACCUCAACCAUGCUUAAUCCACCCCACACCGAGUCACCACCUCCAAUGGCGCAGGGUCAAUAGUCAACAUCAAUCUCCAAGAUCGGAAAACAUAUAGGCCAAGCCUCCAAUAGAACAAGAACUCUUAUCACAAGGCUUAGAUCUCUAACUAAGCUCUUAACCCCUUAAGCGCCUAAAUGAGAGGUAGGAGCUUCUCUUAUACUAAACCCUUAACCCAUAGGUCAUGGGAGAGAUAGAAGAUGAGAGAGAGAGAUGAACAUAACCUAAGUUAGGUUUAUGUGGGGCGUGCCCCUUUCAUGAGAAGAGACAAAGAGAGAGAGCUACUCCAUGUGGGGCGUGCCGACAAUAGUGUGUAGAAGAGGCCAAGUGCCGCGUGUGUAGAAGAGAGAGAAGAAAUGGAAAACACAGGCGGCAGUGAAGAGAGUGAGUGGUAGUGAAGGGAGCGUGCGACAGUGAAGAGAGGAGAGCACGCUGCAGUGAAGAGAGCGCGCGGCAGUGAAGAGAGCACGUGACAGUGAAGAGACAGAAGAAAUGCAAAACGCAUGUGGCAGUGACGAGAGUGUGCGACAGUAAAGAGAUAAGAGCACGUAGCAGUGAAGAGGAAGAAGAAGAAAACAUGUGCGACAAUGAAGAGAGAGAAGAAGGAAAAGACGUAUUGUUGUCAUACGUGUCAGCGUCGCACUUGUCAAUAUCGUGCAUGUCAGCUACAGUGACAUCUCCACCUUCUCGGUCAACCACAGUGGAUCCCACCUACCCUUGGGUACUUAAAGCCCUCUCCCCUUCCUUCUCACUGUGGUUUGCUCCUUGCUUUCCCUCUCAAGAUCCCAAGGUUAGAGUUCCUUGCUGUUGCCAUUGGAACACCAUUGCUUGGAGCUUGAAGUGGCCUGCGAGUGGGAGUUUUGGAGGCAUUGUAAUCAUCAGGUAAGUAGGUUUAGCAUCUAUGCACCAACAAAUAUUGUAGAAAUC